UGUUCAACUAUACUUUCUCCAGAAUGAAC
This 29-nucleotide non-coding RNA is filed under the name Mus musculus (house mouse). Lineage: Eukaryota; Metazoa; Chordata; Mammalia; Rodentia; Muridae. The record is from RNAcentral.